UACGUAGGUGGCAAGCGUUGUCCGGAAUUAUUGGGCGUAAAGCGCGCGCAGGUGGUUUCUUAAGUCUGAUGUGAAAGCCCACGGCUCAACCGUGGAGGGUCAUUGGAAACUGGGGAACUUGAGUGCAGAAGAGGAAAGUGGAAUUCCAAGUGUAGCGGUGAAAUGCGUAGAGAUUUGGAGGAACACCAGUGGCGAAGGCGACUUUCUGGUCUGUAACUGACACUGAGGCGCGAAAGCGUGGGGGAGCGAACAGG
RNAcentral lists this ribosomal RNA (254 nucleotides) under uncultured bacterium. RNAcentral describes it as "partial 16S ribosomal RNA". It matches the Rfam family "Bacterial small subunit ribosomal RNA", at positions 524 to 776 of the family's 1533-position model. The record is from RNAcentral.